Molecule: ribosomal RNA, 497 nt
Filed under: uncultured bacterium
Lineage: Bacteria
Description: partial 16S ribosomal RNA
Rfam family: Bacterial small subunit ribosomal RNA
Source: RNAcentral
GAUGAACGCUGGCGGCGUGCCUAAUACAUGCAAGUCGAGCGAACAGACGAGGAGCUUGCUCCUCUGACGUUAGCGGCGGACGGGUGAGUAACACGUGGAUAACCUACCUAUAAGACUGGGAUAACUUCGGGAAACCGGAGCUAAUACCGGAUAAUAUAUUGAACCGCAUGGUUCAAUAGUGAAAGACGGUUUUGCUGUCACUUAUAGAUGGAUCCGCGCCGCAUUAGCUAGUUGGUAAGGUAACGGCUUACCAAGGCAACGAUGCGUAGCCGACCUGAGAGGGAGAUCCGACACACUGGAACUGAGACACGGUCCAGACUCCUACGGGAGGCAGCAGUAGGGAAUCUUCCGCAAUGGGCGAAAGCUUGACGGAGCAACGCCGCGUGAGUGAUGAAGGUCUUCGGAUCGUAAAACUCUGUUAUUAGGGAAGAACAAAAGUGUAAGUAACUAUGCACGUCUUGACGGUACCUAAUCAGAAAGCCCCGGCUAACUACGUG